GAUGAACGCUAGCGGCAGGCCUAAUACAUGCAAGUCGAACGGGAUUUGGGUGCUUGCACCUAAUGGGAGUGGCGCACGGGUGCGUAACACGUAUGUAACCUACCUUAAUCAGGGGGAUAGCCUCUCGAAAGAGAGAUUAACACCGCAUAAAAUCACACUAUGGCAUCAUAGAAUGAUCAAAUAUUUAUAGGAUUAAGGUGGGCAUGCGGAACAUUAGCUAGUUGGUAAGGUAACGGCUUACCAAGGCUACGAUGUUUAGGGGAUCUGAGAGGAUGGCCCCCCACACUGGUACUGAGACACGGACCAGACUCCUACGGGAGGCAGCAGUAAGGAAUAUUGGUCAAUGGACGCAAGUCUGAACCAGCCAUGCCGCGUGCAGGAAGACGGCCCUACGGGUUGUAAACUGCUUUUGUACCGGAAUAAACCUCUUUACGUGUAAGGAGCUGAAUGUACGGUAAGAAUAAGGAUCGGCUAACUCCGUGCCAGCAGCCGCGGUAA
This 498-nucleotide ribosomal RNA is filed under the name uncultured bacterium. RNAcentral describes it as "partial 16S ribosomal RNA". It matches the Rfam family "Bacterial small subunit ribosomal RNA", at positions 28 to 523 of the family's 1533-position model. The record is from RNAcentral.